RNAcentral lists this small RNA (746 nucleotides) under Pan troglodytes (chimpanzee). RNAcentral's name for it is "retained intron". The record is from RNAcentral. Lineage: Eukaryota; Metazoa; Chordata; Mammalia; Primates; Hominidae.
GGCUAGUCUCAAACUCCUGACCUCGUGAUCCACCCGCCUCGGCCUCCCAAAGUGCUGGGAUUACAGGCGUGAGCCACCACACUCAGCCUCCAAAUAUGAUUUCUUUAAGUUAACCUUUUACCAAAACUCCAGCCAGAGGUAACCUGUAGGUAUUAUGGUUUGAACUAGCAGAGGUCCUGAGACCAUCUAACUGUUGGGUCUAUUUCUUGGGGACAGCAGCUACCAAGGGGGUGCCAGCUGGAAACAGUGACACAGAGGGGGGCCAGCCUGGUCGGAAACGACGCUGGGGAGCCAGCACAGCCACCACACAGAAGAAACCUUCCAUCAGUAUCACCACUGAAUCACUAAAGGUGAGGUGGGAGGAGCCAGGGAAGGGAGGAUGAGACCUGUUAAGGUGGGAGUAGACAUGGGCCCAGUGUAACGGGGUGGGGGGUAUCUGUGUCCCAGAGCCUCAUCCCCGACAUCAAACCCCUGGCGGGGCAGGAGGCUGUUGUGGAUCUUCAUGCUGAUGACUCUCGCAUCUCUGAGGAUGAGACAGAGCGUAAUGGCGAUGAUGGGACCCAUGACAAGGGGCUGAAAAUAUGCCGGACAGUCACUCAGGUAGUACCUGCAGAGGGCCAGGAGAAUGGGCAGAGGGAAGAAGAGGAAGAAGAGAAGGAACCUGAAGCAGAACCUCCUGUACCUCCCCAGGUGUCAGUAGAGGUGGCCUUGCCCCCACCUGCAGAGCAUGAAGUAAAGAAAGGUGA